Non-coding RNA from Termitomyces sp. T159_Od127, 87 nucleotides. Lineage: Eukaryota; Fungi; Basidiomycota; Agaricomycetes; Agaricales; Lyophyllaceae. The record is from the annotation of a GenBank genome assembly.
GGUAAGAUGGCCGAGCGGUCUAAGGCGCCAGACUAAGGUUUUAAUGGGUAUAUCUGGUCUCUUUGGGGUCGGGACUCCCUCUCAUCA